Molecule: long non-coding RNA, 2316 nt
Filed under: Oryza sativa (Asian cultivated rice)
Lineage: Eukaryota; Viridiplantae; Streptophyta; Magnoliopsida; Poales; Poaceae
Description: long non-coding RNA (OSAT_LNC001527)
Source: RNAcentral
CACUCCUCUUCUACCUCGCGAGUCAGGGGUUUUAGGGUUACGACUCACACCACCGCUACGUGGAAGUAGCCUCCUCCUCCUUCGCUUGAGAUCCGCAGCCGCCCUCGUAGCAUCGCCUCGCUCCACUAUUUAUUGGUGCGUGUGAGGCGGUGGUAGCAAUUGCUCUUCUUGUUAGCACAUUGGGCACUUGGAUCGCUGGAGAAGCUGAUGGGGCUUCGUUUGGUGGUGGAGAUGGUGAAAGGAUCAUGAAGCAUGGUCCAGUAUAAUCAACCUCGACCAUUCCUUGUUGUUGGUUCGUCUUAGGAGCCAAUGGCCUUCAUUUCCUCCAAAAAUAUAUAGUCGAUUACCUUGCGUUCCUGUAGGUUGUGGAUGUUUGGGGAUAAACUAGGCCACUCAUGAGUUUGGGAGUGAAAGCUAUAAAUUAACGAUGUAUACGAAAUGAAUUGACGUUGAGUGAAGUCCUUAGGUCGGUCUGGGCACACUCUCCCCCUAUCAGCAAACAACUAAACACCAUAUGUGUACCAUAUGAGGCUCAAACCUAAAAUCCACAUUUUUCAAUAUUUUAUUUAACAAAUAUCACAUUUUAUCAUUUUAAUCCAGAUCACAAAAUAAAUCAUUCUAUAUGUGUAAUUGAGCCCAAAUGGUAAGUAAACUCAUCACUAAGCAUGGCUAAGCAUUUUCAUAGACUAUCAUUCUUAAUGUGACGAAAUGAAUUGUCCCUAAGGCUUGGAAUAUUUGUUAAGGUCUUUUGUGUAGUUUAGGUGAUAAUGCAAGUUAAGGAGUUGAGCUAACAAAUUUUACAAAAUUUUAAUGGGUUAAUGUACACUUAACAUGCAAGUUUUGCAAUCUUUUCAAAAACCUCCAAAUCAUAGGUUCAAUGUGAUAAAGAGGGGAGGUGGCUUGCCUUGCUCUUCCUCUCCUUGCUCAGCUACAAAGUAGGUCUCCUCGUGACUCGGCUGUGAAUCGUCUAAUCACACAUAUGCAAAGUCAAAAUUAUAAACAUACAUAAAAAUCCAACAUGCUCUAAAAUGAAUGCCUUUUCUUAACCUAAAAUGAAUGCCUUUUCUUAGGUUAAGUGUGUUCUGUGUUAAGUUGAUUUUUAGUGAAAGAGUUUUCAUUUUAGCAGUUUUCAUUUAAAGAUUACAAAUUUUUAAAGUGUUUACAUGAUAAUUAUGGUCCUAAGUGCAUUUCGGAUUUUUGAGACAUAAAUCUUUAUGAUUCUGUUAAGUUGAACAUUUUUAUGAUGCAGAGCAUGAAAAUAUGAUUCCAACAAAAUUUAGUUUGCAAAUUUUAGAGUUAGGAUGAAGUUUUGACAAAUUCUUAAAGUUCUACCAUUUUUCGGUUGUUUAUAAACUAGUUUUACAUUUUCUCUGUUUUCUUGAGUCAUUUCUCUCUCUCGGGUCCACCAGUCAGUGACUAUCAUUUUACGCAAAAGCCCCUGGGUUCUCGGAAAAUAGAUCCCGCAGCCCCUAGCACGUGUUUUAGGUUUUUAUGCAAAAAGACGCUUGAGUUUUAGUUUAUUUACAUAUUAGUACUGGUCCCACUUGUAAGUGACUGCUUGAGUUUCUAAUACAUCCCUGGGAAUCUUUAAAUUUCACAAGCCAUGCCCUUGCUCUGGACAGAGCAGAGCAGCAGCACAGCCGCGAGUUUCACGGCAUCACCGGCGGCGAACGGUGACGAUUCAGCCCAAGCUCCCAAAACGAAAAGUGUAUAGAACAACCGUGCGAACCCAUUGGUGGCUGUAUUGCAAGCUUUGGUGCUCUAUAGCGGUUGUUAGGAUGUUAGAAGCGGUGGUUAAGCUCAGCUUGCACAUGCAUGUGGGUUUUGAGGCUUGAUCUAAACGUGCAUGUGUUAGCUGGAGGUCCUAGGGACUAUUAGGAAGCUCACCAAGCAGCGAACGCGGCUCGGCGAAGUCUUGGCGACGGUGUGCUGGUUCGGCGACGGCGCGGCUGCUACGGUCGUCGUCGGCAGUGCUCCUCCGGCCUUGAUCUGUUCAAAGCGAAGGCACACAUCGAUUUGAGACGACACAAGACAGCUCUAGGCGAAAAAUAUUGUGCCGAAGCUCACCAGAGAAAGAGGAAGAGAGAAAUGGCGUCGGCGGUCGGAGUUGGGGAAGAAGAAGGGGAUCUCCCACCGUGGUCCACCUCGUGCCGAUUCCUUCGGGGUUCUUGGUCAAUGGGUGCUGGUGAAGAUGUUGGCGAGAUGGCCUGACCAAUGGUGGACUGUGGAAGCCGGGCGACGAGCAACAGCGAUGCGACGGUGCCCAGAGCGCGGCGGCGUUCCGAGUAAUGACGCGGUCGCGUUCCCGGAGAUUGG